CCUACGGGAGGCAACAGUCGAGAAUCAUUCACAAUGGGGGAAACCCUGAUGGUGCGACGCCGCGUGGGGGAAUGAAGGUCUUCGGAUUGUAAACCCCUGUCAUGUGGGAGCAAAUUAAAAAGAUAGUACCACAAGAGGAAGAGACGGCUAACUCUGUGCCAGCAGCCGCGGUAAUACAGAGGUCUCAAGCGUUGUUCGGAAUCACUGGGCGUAAGGCGUGCGUAGGCUGUUUCGUAAGUCGUGUGUGAAAGGCGCGGGCUCAACCCGCGGACGGCACAUGAUACUGCGAGACUAGAGUAAUGGAGGGGGAACCGGAAUUCUCGAUGUAGCAGUGAAAUGCGUAGAUAUCGAGAGGAACACUCGUGGCGAAGGCGGGUUCCUGGACAUUAACUGACGCUGAGGCACGAAGGCCAGGGGAGCGAAAGGGAUUAGAUACCCUAGUAGUC
Molecule: ribosomal RNA, 446 nt
Filed under: uncultured bacterium
Lineage: Bacteria
Description: partial 16S ribosomal RNA
Rfam family: Bacterial small subunit ribosomal RNA
Source: RNAcentral